This is a long non-coding RNA of Gallus gallus (chicken), 327 nucleotides long. The record is from Ensembl. NCBI's taxonomy places the organism in Eukaryota, Metazoa, Chordata, Aves, Galliformes, Phasianidae.
UCCCUCGUAGGAGGAAGAUCUGGAAAAGAUAAGAGCAAUUGCACAUUGCCAGUUGACUGAAAACUCAACCCCCAAAUGAACUGCUGAAAUACAAAGAGGCACAAGGCAAUUUUCCUGUUUUCCUCUUUGCUGCAGCUGCAGGAGCCAAGUUGGUUGCCUUUGGCUUCCAUGAACAAGACUACAUAGACAUAAUCAGACAAAUGACACAGCAAGGGAAUCAAAGAACACCAAGAAAAUCUGUGCAUCCAGUCCCCUCAGAUCUCUGCUGUCACCUCUCUAACAAGUGCAAGGCCAAAUGUGCUGAACUCCUUCUGCUUUAGGAACUAA